CCUACGGGAGGCAGCAGUGGGGAAUAUUGGACAAUGGGGGCAACCCUGAUCCAGCCAUGCCGCGUGUGUGAAGAAGGCCCUCGGGUUGUAAAGCACUUUCAGUGAGGAAGAACGCCUGGUGGUUAAUAUCCAUCAGGAAAGACAUCACUCACAGAAGAAGCACCGGCUAACUCCGUGCCAGCAGCCGCGGUAAUACGGAGGGUGCGAGCGUUAAUCGGAAUUACUGGGCGUAAAGCGCGCGUAGGUGGCUUGAUAAGCCGGUUGUGAAAGCCCCGGGCUCAACCUGGGAACGGCAUCCGGAACUGUCAAGCUAGAGUGCAGGAGAGGAAGGUAGAAUUCCCGGUGUAGCGGUGAAAUGCGUAGAGAUCGGGAGGAAUACCAGUGGCGAAGGCGGCCUUCUGGACUGACACUGACACUGAGGUGCGAAAGCGUGGGUAGCAAACAGGAUUAGAUACCCUUGUAGUC
This 465-nucleotide ribosomal RNA is filed under the name Vreelandella stevensii. RNAcentral describes it as "partial 16S ribosomal RNA". It matches the Rfam family "Bacterial small subunit ribosomal RNA", at positions 338 to 795 of the family's 1533-position model. Lineage: Bacteria; Pseudomonadati; Pseudomonadota; Gammaproteobacteria; Oceanospirillales; Halomonadaceae. The record is from RNAcentral.